AACAAAAUGAGCUUAUUGGCAUCCGAAUGUUAUUUGAUGUCUUCCCAGUAUAAAUGGGAGACAUACUCUUGUUAGACUCUUGCUUGAGCGAUUACUAUCAAAUCAACAAUUUUAUUGAUAAAUUAUUUGUUGGUAAAAGAGACAUUGGAGGAAACCAUAUCAAAAUUACGUUAUGGUAGUCUGAAGUUGUUGUGUGUUAUUAUUAACGGCGAAAUUUGGAUUUAGACAUUAGAAGAAAAAGCGGGAACAUAUAACCGAAUCAAACUAAAUUACACUAAUCGGACUAAUAGGCUAAAGACAGUAUCGGAUAAAUCGAUAGGAAAAAGAGUUGGAUUAGAGGAUGAGUCCGAUUCGAUGUGCAAAAGGAGAUUAAUUUAGAAAGGAAACAGAGUCCGUGAGAAGCAACAUGUGUAAAUAGUAGAGUUUGUUUUAUAAAUUUAUUUAGGUAGACUUCAUGUGUAAUAAGUUAAAUAAAAAGAUAUGAAUAUGUAUCCCUUUUAGAUUAGU
This 507-nucleotide long non-coding RNA is filed under the name Oryza brachyantha (malo sina). RNAcentral's name for it is "long non-coding RNA (OBRA_LNC001351)". Lineage: Eukaryota; Viridiplantae; Streptophyta; Magnoliopsida; Poales; Poaceae. The record is from RNAcentral.